CAAAAGCUUGGUCCUGACUUUACUAUCAGCAUUGGUCAAAUUUAUACAUGCAAGUAUCCGCAACCCUGUGAGAAUGCCCUUAAUAUUCCCUGAAACCGGGAAAAAAGGAGCAGGUAUUAGGCACGACCCUACAGUCAGCCCACAACGCCUUGCUUAGCCACACCCCCAAGGGACUUCAGCAGUAAUAGACAUUAAGCCAUAAGUGAAAACUUGACUUAGUUAAAACCAAGAGGGCCGGUUAAACUCGUGCCAGCCACCGCGGUUAUACGAGAGGCCCAAGUUGAUAAAUCGCCGGCGUAAAAAGUGGCCAAUAAUGACACAUCACUAAAGCCAAACAUCUUCAAAGCUGUCAUACGCACUCGAAGACAGGAAGCCCCUCCACGAAAGUGGCUUUAAAACAUAUGCCUCCACGAAAGCUAGGAUACAAACUGGGAUUAGAUACCCCACUAUGCCUAGCCCUAAACACAGGUGAUAUCUUUACACCUCCAUCGCUUGCCAGGGAACUACGAGCCCCAGCUUAAAACCCAAAGGACUUGGCGGUGCUUUAGACCCCCCUAGAGGAGCCUGUUCUAGAACCGAUAACCCCCGUUAAACCUCACCCUCUCUUGUUUUCUCCCGCCUAUAUACCGCCGUCGUCAGCUUACCCUAUGAAGGAUGCACAGUAAGCAUAAUUGGUACAACCUAAAACGCCAGGUCGAGGUGUAGCGUACGAGAGGGGAAGAAAUGGGCUACAUUCACUGAAACAGUGAACAACGGACGAUGCGUUGAAAUAAGUAUCUAAAGGAGGAUUUAGCAGUAAGAGAGGAAAUAGAGUGUCCCUCUGAAACCGGCCCUGAAGCGCGCACACACCGCCCGUCACUCUCCCCAAAUUAAUACUAAUUAAUAAAUAAACAUAGAACUAAAAAAACAAAGGGGAGGCAAGUCGUAACAUGGUAAGUGUACCGGAAGGUGUACUUGGAAAAA
Molecule: non-coding RNA, 963 nt
Filed under: Stenogobius sp. HYW-2001
Lineage: Eukaryota; Metazoa; Chordata; Actinopteri; Gobiiformes; Gobiidae
Description: 12S ribosomal RNA
Rfam family: Bacterial small subunit ribosomal RNA
Source: RNAcentral